CCUACGGGAGGCUGCAGUGGGGGAUAUUGCACAAUGGUGGAAACCCUGAUGCAGCGACGCCGCGUGGGCGAAGAAGUUUUUCGGUAUGUAAAGCCCUAUCAGCAGGGAAGAAGAAAUUACGGUACCUGCGCAAGAAGCACCGGCUAAAUACGUGCCAGCAGCCGCGGUAAUACGUAUGGUGCAAGCGUUAUCCGGAUUUACUGGGUGUAACGGGAGCGCAGGCGGCACGGCAAGCCUGAUGUGAAAGCCCGCGGGCCAACCGCGGGACUGCAGUGGGAACUACCGGGCUGGAGUGCCGGAGAGGUAGGCGGAAUGCCUAGUGUAGCGGUGAAAUGCGUAGAUAUUGGGAGGAACACCAGUGGCGAAGGCGGCCUGCUGGACGGUGACUGACGCUGAGGCUCGAAAGCGUGGGGAGCAAACAGGAUUAGAUACCCCAGUAGUC
Molecule: ribosomal RNA, 442 nt
Filed under: uncultured bacterium
Lineage: Bacteria
Description: partial 16S ribosomal RNA
Rfam family: Bacterial small subunit ribosomal RNA
Source: RNAcentral